CCUACGGGAGGCAGCAGUGGGGAAUAUUGCACAAUGGGCGAAAGCCUGAUGCAGCAACGCCGCGUGAGCGAUGAAGGCCUUCGGGUCGUAAAGCUCUUUCCUCAAGGAAGAUAAUGACGGUACUUGAGGAGGAAGCCCCGGCUAACUACGUGCCAGCAGCCGCGGGAAUACGUAGGGGGCUAGCGUUAUCCGGAUUUACUGGGCGUAAAGGGGGCGUAGGGGGGUUCUUAAGUCAGAGGUGAAAGGCUAAGGCUCAACCGUAGUAAGCCUUUGAAAAUGGGGAACUUGAGUGCAGGAGAGGAGAGUGGAAUGCCUAGUGUAGCGGUGAAAUGCGUAGAUAUUGAGAAGAACACCGGUUGCGAAGGCGGCUCUCUGGACUGUAACUGACGCUGAGGCACGAAAGCGUGGGGAGCGAACAGGAUUAGAUACCCCGGUAGUC
This 439-nucleotide ribosomal RNA is filed under the name uncultured bacterium. RNAcentral describes it as "partial 16S ribosomal RNA". It matches the Rfam family "Bacterial small subunit ribosomal RNA", at positions 338 to 795 of the family's 1533-position model. The record is from RNAcentral.